GGGGUUGUAGUUCAGUGGUAGAGCGCUCGCCUUCCAUGUGCGAGACCCUGGGUUCGAUCCUCAACACCA
RNAcentral lists this transfer RNA (69 nucleotides) under Ictidomys tridecemlineatus (thirteen-lined ground squirrel). RNAcentral describes it as "Spermophilus tridecemlineatus (thirteen-lined ground squirrel) tRNA". It matches the Rfam family "tRNA". From Rfam's summary of the family: Transfer RNA (tRNA) molecules are approximately 80 nucleotides in length. Their secondary structure includes four short double-helical elements and three loops (D, anti-codon, and T loops). RNAcentral also lists the same sequence under 1 other name. The record is from Rfam by way of RNAcentral. Lineage: Eukaryota; Metazoa; Chordata; Mammalia; Rodentia; Sciuridae.